This 268-nucleotide ribosomal RNA is filed under the name uncultured prokaryote. Its description in RNAcentral is "partial 16S ribosomal RNA". It matches the Rfam family "Bacterial small subunit ribosomal RNA", at positions 524 to 792 of the family's 1533-position model. The record is from RNAcentral.
UACGUAGGAGGCGAGCGUUAUCCGGAUUUAUUGGGCGUAAAGCGCGUGCAGGUGGUUUGGUAAGUUGGGUAUGAAAUCUUCUGGCUUAACUAGGAGAGGUUGCUCAAAACUGCCAGACUAGAGGACGAUAGAGGAAGGUGGAAUUCCCGGUGUAGUAGUGAAAUGCGUAGAUAUCGGGAGGAACACCAGUGGCGAAGGCGGCCUUCUGGGUCGUUCCUGACACUAAGACGCGAAGUAUGGGUAGCAAACGGGAUUAGAUACCCUAGUA